GAUGAACGCUGGCGGCGUGCCUAAUACAUGCAAGUCGAGCGAACGGACGAGAAGCUUGCUUCUCUGAUGUUAGCGGCGGACGGGUGAGUAACACGUGGAUAACCUACCUAUAAGACUGGGAUAACUUCGGGAAACCGGAGCUAAUACCGGAUAAUAUUUUGAACCGCAUGGUUCAAAAGUGAAAGACGGUCUUGCUGCCACUUAUCGAUGGAUCCGCGCUGCAUUAGCUAGUUGGUAAGGUAACGGCUUACCAAGGCAACGAUGCAUAGCCGACCUGAGAGGGCGAUCGGCCACACGGGAACUGAGACACGGUCCAGACUCCUACGGGAGGCAGCAGUAGGGAAGCUUCCGCAGUGGGCGAAAGCCUGACGGAGCAACGCCGCGUGAGUGAUGAAGGUCUUCGGAUCGUAAAACUCUGUUAUUAGGGAAGAACAUAUGUGUAAGUAACUGUGCACAUCUUGACGGUACCUAAUCAGAAAGCCACGGCUAACUACGUG
This 497-nucleotide ribosomal RNA is filed under the name uncultured bacterium. RNAcentral describes it as "partial 16S ribosomal RNA". It matches the Rfam family "Bacterial small subunit ribosomal RNA", at positions 28 to 507 of the family's 1533-position model. The record is from RNAcentral.